GAUGAACGCUGGCGGCGUGCCUAAUACAUGCAAGUCGAGCGAACAGAUGAGGAGCUUGCUCCUCUGACGUUAGCGGCGGACGGGUGAGUAACACGUGGAUAACCUACCUAUAAGACUGGGAUAACUUCGUGAAACCGGAGCUAAUACCGGAUAAUAUAUUGAACCGCAUGGUUCAAUAGUGAAAGACGGUUUUGCUGUCACUUAUAGAUGGAUCCGCGCCGCAUUAGCUAGUUGGUAAGGUAACGGCUUACCAAGGCAACGAUGCGUAGCCGACCUGAGAGGGCGAUCGGCCACACAGGAACUGAGACACGGUCCAGAAUCCUACGGGAGGCAGCAGUAGGGAAUCUUCCGCAAUGGGCGAAAGCCUGACGGAGCAACGCCGCGUGAGUGAUGAAGGGCUUCGGAUCGUAAAACUCUGUUAUUAGGGAAGAACAAAUGUGUAAGUAACUAUGCACGUCUUGACGGUACCUAAUCAGAAAGCCACGGCUAACUACGU
RNAcentral lists this ribosomal RNA (496 nucleotides) under uncultured bacterium. RNAcentral's name for it is "partial 16S ribosomal RNA". It matches the Rfam family "Bacterial small subunit ribosomal RNA", at positions 28 to 506 of the family's 1533-position model. The record is from RNAcentral.